This 149-nucleotide unclassified non-coding RNA is filed under the name soil metagenome. RNAcentral's name for it is "partial internal transcribed spacer 1". The record is from RNAcentral.
CCGAGUUUACAACUCCCAAACUCCUGUGAACAUACCUAUACGUUGCCUCGGCGGAUCAGCCCGCGCCCCGUAAAAAGGGACGGCCCGCCGCAGGAACCCUAAACUCUGUUUUUAGUGGAACUUCUGAGUAUAAACAAACAAAUAAAUCA